AGCAACCGCGGUAAUUCCAGCUCCAAUAGCGUAUAUUAAAGUUGUUGCAGUUAAAAAGCUCGUAGUUGAAUUUCGGGAUCAAUAUAUCGGUCGUGCCAUUGGUACGUACUGGUAUCAUUGGUUUCUCCUUUCUGACGAACCAUGAUGUCAUUAAUUUGGUGUUAUGGGAAGUUAGGACUGUUACUUUGAAAAAAUUAGAGUGUUUAAAGCAGGCUUUAGCUUGAAUACAUUAGCAUGGAAUAAUGAAAUAGGACGUUCGAACCUAUUUUGUUGGUUUCUAGGAUCAACGUAAUGAUUAAUAGGGAUAGUUGGGGGCAUUAGUAUUCAAUUGUCAGAGGUGAGAUUCUUGGAUUUAUUGAAGACUAACUACUGCGAAAGCAUUUGCCAAGGAUGUUUUCAUUAAUCAAGAACGAAAGUUAGGGGAUCGAAGACGAUCAGAUACCGUCGUAGUCUUAACCAUAAACUAUGCCGACUAGGGAUCGGAUGAUGUUAAUUUUUUAAUGACUCAUUCGGCGCCUUA
This 520-nucleotide ribosomal RNA is filed under the name uncultured Glomus. Its description in RNAcentral is "SSU rRNA". It matches the Rfam family "Eukaryotic small subunit ribosomal RNA", at positions 569 to 1090 of the family's 1831-position model. The record is from RNAcentral. Lineage: Eukaryota; Fungi; Glomeromycota; Glomeromycetes; Glomerales; Glomeraceae.